UCGAACGAUGGACCUCCAGCUUGCUGGGGUGAUUAGUGGCGAACGGGUGAGUAACACGUGAGUAACCUGCCCUCCACUCUGGGAUAAGCACUGGAAACGGUGUCUAAUACCGGAUACGAGCUUCCGCCGCAUGGUGAGGAGCUGGAAAGAAUUUUGGUGGUGGAUGGACUCGCGGCCUAUCAGGUAGUUGGUGAGGUAAUGGCUCACCAAGCCGACGACGGGUAGCCGGCCUGAGAGGGUGACCGGCCACACUGGGACUGAGACACGGCCCAGACUCCUACGGGAGGCAGCAGUGGGGAAUAUUGCACAAUGGGCGAAAGCCUGAUGCAGCAACGCCGCGUGAGGGACGACGGCCUUCGGGUUGUAAACCUCUUUUAGUAGGGAAGAAGCGAAAGUGACGGUACCUGCAGAAAAAGCACCGGCUAACUACGUGCCAGCAGCCGCGGUAAUACGUAGGGUGCAAGCGUUGUCCGGAAUUAUUGGGCGUAAAGAGCUCGUAGGCGGUUUGUCGCGUCUGCUGUGAAAUCCGGAGGCUCAACCUCCGGCCUGCAGUGGGUACGGGCAGACUAGAGUGCGGUAGGGGAGAUUGGAAUUCCUGGUGUAGCGGUGGAAUGCGCAGAUAUCAGGAGGAACACCAAUGGCGAAGGCAGAUCUCUGGGCCGUAACUGACGCUGAGGAGCGAAAGCAUGGGGAGCGAACAGGAUUAGAUACCCUGGUAGUCCAUGCCGUAAACGUUGGGAACUAGGCGUAGGGUCCAUUCCACGGAUUCUGUGCCGCAGCUAACGCAUUAAGUUCCCCGCCUGGGGAGUACGGCCGCAAGGCUAAAACUCAAAGGAAUUGACGGGGGCCCGCACAAGCGGCGGAGCAUGCGGAUUAAUUCGAUGCAACGCGAAGAACCUUACCAAGGCUUGACAUAUACCGGAAAAGUUCAGAAAUGUUCUCCCCCGCAAGGUCGGUAUACAGGUGGUGCAUGGUUGUCGUCAGCUCGUGUCGUGAGAUGUUGGGUUAAGUCCCGCAACGAGCGCAACCCUCGUUCUAUGUUGCCAGCACGUAAUG
This 1056-nucleotide ribosomal RNA is filed under the name Marisediminicola sp. RNAcentral's name for it is "bacterial SSU rRNA". It matches the Rfam family "Bacterial small subunit ribosomal RNA", at positions 62 to 1130 of the family's 1533-position model. The record is from RNAcentral. Lineage: Bacteria; Bacillati; Actinomycetota; Actinomycetes; Micrococcales; Microbacteriaceae.